GUGCUCGCUUUGGCAGCACAUGUACUAAAAUUGGAACGAUACAGAGAAGAUUAGCAUGGCCCCUGUGCAAGGAUGACAUGCAAAUUUGUGAAGUGUUCCAUAUUUAA
RNAcentral lists this small nuclear RNA (107 nucleotides) under Propithecus coquereli (Coquerel's sifaka). The record is from RNAcentral. Lineage: Eukaryota; Metazoa; Chordata; Mammalia; Primates; Indriidae.